Octodon degus (degu) is the source of this 109-nucleotide small nuclear RNA. The record is from Ensembl. Lineage: Eukaryota; Metazoa; Chordata; Mammalia; Rodentia; Octodontidae.
GUGCUCGCUUCGGCAGCACAUAUACUAAAAAAUUGGAAUGAUACAGAGAAGAUUAGCAAGGCCCCUGAGCAAGGAUGGCGUGCAAAUUAGUGAAGUGUUCCAUAUUUUU